GAGUUUGAUCGUGGCUCAGAUUGAACGCUGGCGGCGUGCUUAACACAUGCAAGUCGAGCGGCAGCGCGGUAGCAAUACUGGCGGCGAGCGGCGAACGGGUGAGUAAUGCUUCGGAAUCUUCCUCGUAGUGGGGAAUAACCUGGGGAAACUCAGGCUAAUACCGCAUACGAACUACGGUUGAAAGCAGGGGAUCGCAAGACCUUGCGCUAUGAGAUGAGCCGAAGUCGGAUUAGCUAGUUGGUAGGUAACGGCCUACCAAGGCGACGAUCCGUAGCUGGUCUGAGAGGACGACCAGCCACACUGGGACUGAGACACGGCCCAGACUCCUACGGGAGGCAGCAGUGGGGAAUAUUGGACAAUGGGGGCAACCCUGAUCCAGCGACGCCGCGUGUGUGAAGAAGGCCUGCGGGUUGUAAAGCACUUUUAGUGGGGAUGAAAAGCCGAAGGCUAAUACCUUUCGGUCUUGACCUAACCCAAAGAAAAGCACCGGCUAACUCUGUGCCAGCAGCCGCAGUAAC
RNAcentral lists this ribosomal RNA (518 nucleotides) under uncultured Gammaproteobacteria bacterium. RNAcentral describes it as "bacterial SSU rRNA". It matches the Rfam family "Bacterial small subunit ribosomal RNA", at positions 9 to 524 of the family's 1533-position model. Lineage: Bacteria; Pseudomonadati; Pseudomonadota; Gammaproteobacteria. The record is from RNAcentral.